RNAcentral lists this ribosomal RNA (457 nucleotides) under uncultured bacterium. RNAcentral describes it as "SSU rRNA". It matches the Rfam family "Bacterial small subunit ribosomal RNA", at positions 26 to 518 of the family's 1533-position model. The record is from RNAcentral.
AGAAUCAACGCUGGCGGCGUGCCUAACACAUGCAAGUCGCACGAGAAAGGGGAGCAAUCCCUGAGUACAGUGGCGCACGGGUGAGUAACACGUGAAUCAUCUACCUCCGAGUGGGGGAAUAACUGAGAGAAAUCUUAGCUAAUACCGCAUAAUACCCACGGGUCAAAGCAGCAAUGCGCUUGGAGAGGAGUUCGCGGCAGAUUAGUUAGUUGGCGGGGUAAUGGCCCACCAAGACGAUGAUCUGUAUCCGGCCUGAGAGGGCGCACGGACACACUGGAACUGAAACACGGUCCAGACUCCUACGGAGGCAGCAGUGGGGAAUUUUGCGCAAUGGGGGAAACCCUGACGCAGCAACGCCGCGUGGAGGAUGAAGCCCCUUGGGUGUAAACUCCUUUCGAUCGGGAAGAUAAUGACGGUACCGAUAUAAGAAGCCCGGCUAACUCGUGCCAGCAGCCGC